Brienomyrus brachyistius is the source of this 1178-nucleotide long non-coding RNA. RefSeq lists it as uncharacterized. The transcript has 3 exons. The record is from RefSeq and is a predicted model, not a curated record. NCBI's taxonomy places the organism in Eukaryota, Metazoa, Chordata, Actinopteri, Osteoglossiformes, Mormyridae.
GCGCGAUGCGAACACAGCGCAGAUCCUGUACCAAGUAACGUGUGUACAACAAGUGGAAAGCCGGAGCGCGCCAACACCCAGAGUGCUCGCGUGCACGACAACUUUUAUUUUAAUGGAUGUCAGUGCCAUUGCUAAGGGAGAAUCUGCAUAAUUUCUAUUUUGUUUUAAUCCUACCAGCAAACCAGUAAUCGGAAUGUUUUCCCGCGUUGCAAGAUCACCUGCAAGCAUCGCUCGAAGCUUUUGCACUUCUUCCCAGAACAAUGCCAAGGUGGCAGUGUUGGAUGCGUCCAGGGGCAUCGGCCAGCCCCUGUCACUGCUCCUGAAGAAGAGUCCCCUGGUCACACAAUAAUAGGACACAAGUAAAUGAUUAGAUUACAAGUGAAAUCGCUCAGUGUAAGGUAUUUUUUUGCUAUGCAAUUGCUAAGCGAUCUAACUCUGUCUCUGUUUCAGGUCUGUACCGCCCGACUUUUCCUGCCUCAUCUUCCCGCGCCUCCAGAACCUUCCCACUCCCGUCCGACCUAACCCCGUUCCUCCCUCGUGGGUCUAACUCCUGUCUUCCGUCUGUUUAAGGAUUGACCUUUUGGCUUCCUGACCUGCCUGCUCCCGGCUCAUCGACAACUCAUUUGGAUCACGAUCAUUGUUUUGGCACUUGGUACCGACUGAUCUCUGGCUUUGACCCUGCCUGUUCGUUGGACCACGAAUUGGCUUUCGUUAAUAAAUGGAUUUUGGUGAAGUACCCUGAGUGUCCUGAUGUGUGAGAUCCGAGGCAGACAAUGAGGGAGAUGCUGCUGAAACUGGGUACCAGAUGUGGGAGUUCUGUCCUCUUUGAGAUCCCAGAGACCAGCAUCAAGGCAUUCAAGAAGCAAGAUGAUCGACCUUCAUGUGAACAGUUGGGUGAAGGGCAGCCCCACAGAAAGUCCUUCCUAUACAGGUCUUUUGCUGGCUUUUCUCUGAGCUGGGAUAUAAGUAUUCUCGGAUCGAUGGGAAGGACAGUACAUGUUUGUCACAGAUCCUGCUCUUUUCUAUCAAUCUGGGGACACUUUACAUCAUUUUGGGUUGUUGAGGCUAUUUUUCUUCUUUAAUAUGUAUGUUUGUUUCAUUUUGGUGAAAUUGUGAGGGGCUUUAUUAGCGCAAGUUUUUAAAUUCCUAUGGGAUUUAGUGAUAACUAGAAUAUCAUA